Molecule: non-coding RNA, 24 nt
Filed under: Arabidopsis thaliana (thale cress)
Lineage: Eukaryota; Viridiplantae; Streptophyta; Magnoliopsida; Brassicales; Brassicaceae
Source: RNAcentral
AUAUCGCCCGCCUCAGCAAGCCGU